GUCGUCGUGAGGCGGGGGUCUGAAGGAAGCGUGUACCAAAGCCACGACCUGACGAACAGAAACCAGGGCCUACCCGGGCGGACGAGCGAGCCCGGGCCCGGGGUGGUAGAUCUGGCGGGUGUGUGGUGAAGGCGGUUGGG
Non-coding RNA from Candidatus Burkholderia pumila, 140 nucleotides. The record is from Rfam. Lineage: Bacteria; Pseudomonadati; Pseudomonadota; Betaproteobacteria; Burkholderiales; Burkholderiaceae.